This 245-nucleotide long non-coding RNA is filed under the name Lathyrus oleraceus (garden pea). RNAcentral describes it as "Pisum sativum (pea) long non-coding RNA (PSAT_LNC015524)". The record is from RNAcentral. Lineage: Eukaryota; Viridiplantae; Streptophyta; Magnoliopsida; Fabales; Fabaceae.
UACAGAUGCCCCUAUUUAAGGUCAUUCUAGCCGGAGAAGUGAAGGUUAAAAUCUUCAUCUCGACACGGUAGAAUGGGCUUAAAUAACAAUAAUGAGACAAAUUUUGGUCCCUAAGAGACCUCAUGAUGCAAAUGUAUGAAUGCAAAAGAAACAAACUCUGUGGGGAAUAUAGGUCCACAAUGAAGAAAAGACGAUCCAUCGGAGUAAUACACUCACCAGGAACAGAGACUCUAACAGGACUCUUA